Molecule: ribosomal RNA, 511 nt
Filed under: uncultured bacterium
Lineage: Bacteria
Description: partial 16S ribosomal RNA
Rfam family: Bacterial small subunit ribosomal RNA
Source: RNAcentral
GACGAACGCUGGCGGCGUGCCUAAUACAUGCAAGUCGAGCGGAACUGGGGGAGCUUGCUCCUUCCAGUUUAGCGGCGGACGGGUGAGUAACACGUGGGCAACCCGCCCUGCAGAUCGGGAUAACUCCGGGAAACCGGUGCUAAUACCGAAUAGUUUGGCGCCUCUCCUGAGGCGCUACGGAAAGACGGUUUCGGCUGUCACUGCAGGAUGGGCCCGCGGCGCAUUAGCUAGUUGGUGGGGUAACGGCCACCAAGGCGACGAUGCGUAGCCGACCUGAGAGGGUGACCGGCCACACUGGGACUGAGACACGGCCCAGACUCCUACGGGAGGCAGCAGUAGGGAAUCUUCCGCAAUGGACGCAAGUCUGACGGAGCAACGCCGCGUGAGUGACGAAGGUUUUCGGAUCGUAAAACUCUGUUGUGAGGGAAGAACACGUACCAACUAACUAUUGGUACCUUGACGGUACCUCACCAGAAAGCCACGGCUAACUACGUGCCAGCCGCCGCCGUAA